Pseudomonas sp. is the source of this 199-nucleotide small RNA. It matches the Rfam family "Pseudomonas sRNA P27". Lineage: Bacteria; Pseudomonadati; Pseudomonadota; Gammaproteobacteria; Pseudomonadales; Pseudomonadaceae. The record is from Rfam.
CGGGUUUACUCCUGGAUGUUACCGGUUCAUCCGGUCGAAACCGGACGGGUUUUGGUGUCUGAUUCGGUACGAAUCGGGAGCACCUCUGCGUAGGCUUGAAGAAGCGAACUUCAACGGUUUAAGACUUGCGUCGCCUACGGUCUUGGAUAGCCCCCGCCAGGCAGGGACCCCAAUAAGUACCGCUCCGACUUGCGGAGCG